RNAcentral lists this ribosomal RNA (388 nucleotides) under uncultured eukaryote. RNAcentral's name for it is "partial 18S ribosomal RNA". It matches the Rfam family "Eukaryotic small subunit ribosomal RNA", at positions 591 to 976 of the family's 1831-position model. The record is from RNAcentral.
CCAAUAGCAUAUCUUAAAGUUGUUGACGUUAAAAAGCUCGUAGUUGGAUUUUUACAGAUCGUUUAAAGUCUCACGUACUUUAGUACGAGGAUGACUAUUAAACCUCUGUUUUUUGUUGUGACCCUACCUAUCCUUAAUUGGAUUGGGUGGUGUAUAUCGACACAUUUACUUUGAGGAAAAUAGUGCGCUCAAAGCAGGCGUUUCGCCUUGAAUAUGUUAGCAUGGGAUAAUACUAAAGACUACGCAUUUACGUUGAUGGUUAUGAAUGCGAAGUAAUGAGCGAUGGGAACGGAUUGGGGGUCUCGGUAUUCUGCAGGAAGAGGUGAAAUUCUUGGAUCUGUGGAAGACCACCUGAUGCGAAAGCGUUGAUCACAGACGUCUCCGUCAA